CGGGUGAGUAAUGCCUAGGAAAUUGCCCUGAUGUGGGGGAUAACCAUUGGAAACGAUGGCUAAUACCGCAUAAUGCCUACGGGCCAAAGAGGGGGACCUUCGGGCCUCUCGCGUCAGGAUAUGCCUAGGUGGGAUUAGCUAGUUGGUGAGGUAAUGGCUCACCAAGGCGACGAUCCCUAGCUGGUCUGAGAGGAUGAUCAGCCACACUGGAACUGAGACACGGUCCAGACUCCUACGGGAGGCAGCAGUGGGGAAUAUUGCACAAUGGGCGCAAGCCUGAUGCAGCCAUGCCGCGUGUGUGAAGAAGGCCUUCGGGUUGUAAAGCACUUUCAGUCGUGAGGAAGGUGGUGUAGUUAAUAGCUGCAUUAUUUGACGUUAGCGACAGAAGAAGCACCGGCUAACUCCGUGCCAGCAGCCGCGGUAAUACGGAGGGUGCGAGCGUUAAUCGGAAUUACUGGGCGUAAAGC
RNAcentral lists this ribosomal RNA (467 nucleotides) under Vibrio sp. RNAcentral's name for it is "bacterial SSU rRNA". It matches the Rfam family "Bacterial small subunit ribosomal RNA", at positions 103 to 566 of the family's 1533-position model. Lineage: Bacteria; Pseudomonadati; Pseudomonadota; Gammaproteobacteria; Vibrionales; Vibrionaceae. RNAcentral also lists the same sequence under 1 other name. The record is from RNAcentral.